Molecule: ribosomal RNA, 429 nt
Filed under: uncultured bacterium
Lineage: Bacteria
Description: bacterial SSU rRNA
Rfam family: Bacterial small subunit ribosomal RNA
Source: RNAcentral
AGGAACGCGAAGAACCUUACCAGGUCUUGACAUCUUUUGAUCACCUGAGAGAUCAGGUUUCCCCUUCGGGGGCAAAAUGACAGGUGGUGCAUGGUUGUCGUCAGCUCGUGUCGUGAGAUGUUGGGUUAAGUCCCGCAACGAGCGUAACCCUUAUGACUAGUUGCCAGCAUUUAGUUGGGCACUCUAGUAAGACUGCCGGUGACAAACCGGAGGAAGGUGGGGAUGACGUCAAAUCAUCAUGCCCCUUAUGACCUGGGCUACACACGUGCUACAAUGGAUGGUACAACGAGUUGCGAGACCGCGAGGUCAAGCUAAUCUCUUAAAGCCAUUCUCAGUUCGGACUGUAGGCUGCAACUCGCCUACACGAAGUCUGAAUCGCUAGUAAUCGCGGAUCAGCACGCCGCGGUGAAUACGUUCCCGGGUCUUGUA